Molecule: ribosomal RNA, 472 nt
Filed under: uncultured Rothia sp.
Lineage: Bacteria; Bacillati; Actinomycetota; Actinomycetes; Micrococcales; Micrococcaceae
Description: bacterial SSU rRNA
Rfam family: Bacterial small subunit ribosomal RNA
Source: RNAcentral
GACGAACGCUGGCGGCGUGCUUAACACAUGCAAGUCGAACGAUGAAGCGGUGCUUGCACCGUGGAUUAGUGGCGAACGGGUGAGUAAUACGUGAGUGACCUACCUUUGACUCUGGGAUAAGCCUGGGAAACUGGGUCUAAUACCGGAUACGACCAAUCUCUGCAUGGGGUGUUGGUGGAAAGCGUUAUGGAGUGGUUUUAGAUGGGCUCACGGCCUAUCAGCUUGUUGGUGAGGUAAUGGCUUACCAAGGCGACGACGGGUAGCCGGCCUGAGAGGGUGACCGGCCACACUGGGACUGAGACACGGCCCAGACUCCUACGGGAGGCAGCAGUGGGGAAUAUUGCACAAUGGGCGCAAGCCUGAUGCAGCGACGCCGCGUGAGGGAUGACGGCCUUCGGGUUGUAAACCUCUGUUAGCAUCGAAGAAGCGAAAGUGACGGUAGGUGCAAAGAAAGCGCCGGCUAACUACGUGC